RNAcentral lists this long non-coding RNA (612 nucleotides) under Brassica napus (rape). Its description in RNAcentral is "long non-coding RNA (BNAP_LNC002133)". The record is from RNAcentral. Lineage: Eukaryota; Viridiplantae; Streptophyta; Magnoliopsida; Brassicales; Brassicaceae.
AUGGCCAUCCAAGCUUAGACUUUCACAAAGCUAAGCUUGAGGGGGAGUGUUGAGAAGAAGGCAUUAGAUGAUGAGAUGGAUUGCUAAUAAGAGAGUGAGGCUUAGGAGAGUAAUGGGUUGGAGGAAUGAGUUUGGGAGAGGCUAGGCCGUACAGGCCGUACCAUGGCCGUACAGGCCGUACAUGAGUAGCUCGACCAAGAUCACUACCUAAGGGAAGUUACUACACUCGGUUAACUUAAGAGGUAAAGGAGAAGUCUUACUGAGGCUUUACUGAUGUUACCGCGUGGAGAGGAUAAGGGAAGAGCUUAUGACAGGCUGUCAGUAGCUGUGUAAAGGUAAAGGUGCUUUACACACAAGGAAGAGCUUAAUUGGACAGUUUGAAUUAAAGCAGAAUCUUAUCCCAUGUAAUAGUGUGCUUUCUGAAACCCUUAACCUCGACAUGCCUCUCUAUAUAUUGUAACAUCUGGUCAUUAAUAAAACUUAGACAGUUCUGAUUAUCUUUGCCUCCAUGGCUUACUCUUAGUCUCGAUCUCUUAUCUUACUCUUUACACUCAGUUCUUCUCUAAUCUCUCUUAAACACUCAGAUUACUCUUCAUUACUCUAAAAGUCAUA